ACCAGCAGCUGCCGGGCCGGCAGGCUCUACCGCAGCAGGGGUGGGGCCGAGGGGGAGGAAGAGGGAGAGGAGGAGCCAGAGGAGGCGUCUGCUGCAAGUUCCUGGCUGCUUCCGAGCUCACCCCAUCCUCCGAAAGGGAGGAGGCCCAAGUGGUGAUGCUGCUGCUGUGGCCGCCGCCGCCGCCUCGACUGCUGAUACUCUAGUGGCGCUGGAAGGGUGGUUCCUAUUCGCACCGUCGCCAACCAGAGAAGGAGGGGGAAAAAAUCCCAGCAGCCGCUGCUGAUGUUGGCUUCGGAGGCUGCAUCCGACUUGGUCACAAGGAAAAUGGAUUCAGUUUGCAUCUCUGUCUCCUUUAAACAGCUUCUCCGGGUCUCAGCAUGGGCUUCCAGGGCAGCGGUUGAGGAGGCCUUACCAAGGAGCACCACGCAGUAGAUGCGGAGACGUCGCCCUCCAGGAUAAGAAACAGUAACAUGGCAGCACCUGUCUAAAAGGAAUUAAAAACCAACAGACUUCCGUUUAGAAAGGAACAAUGUCCAAGAAAGGGCGAAAUAAGGGCGAGAAGCCCGAGGCACUCAUUGUCGCCCUUCAAGCUGCCAAUGAAGACCUCAGGACCAAGCUCACGGACAUUCAGAUAGAGCUGCACCAGGAGAAGUCCAAGGUAUCGAAGCUCGAGAGAGAGAAGACUCAAGAAGUGAAGAGGAUCCGGGAGCUGGAGCAGCGCAAGCACACAGUCCUGGUGACGGAGCUCAAAUCCAAGCUCCACGAGGAGAAGAUGAAGGAGCUGCAGGCCGUGAGGGAGAAUCUCAUCAAGCAGCACGAGCAAGAGAUGUCGAGGACAGUGAAGGUGCGGGACGGAGAGAUCCAGAGGCUCAAGUCGGCUCUCUGUGCUCUGCGGGACGGCAGCAGCGACAAAGUAAGGACAGCGCUCACCAUCGAGGCCCGGGAGGAGGCCAGGAAACUGUUUGACGCAGAGCGCCUUAAGCUCUUACAGGAGAUCACGGACCUGAAAACGGCCAAGAAGCAGGUGGACGAGGCUCUGAGCAACAUGAUCCAAGCGGACAAAAUCAAGGCUGGGGACCUCAGGAGUGAGCAUCAGUCCCACCAAGAAGCCAUCUCGAAGAUCAAGUGGGAGUCGGAGCGGGACAUCCGGAGGCUGAUGGAUGAAAUCAAAGCCAAGGACAGGAUCAUCUUUUCCCUGGAAAAGGAACUGGAGACGCAAACAGGCUAUGUACAGAAACUCCAGCUGCAGAAGGAGGCUUUGGACGAACAGCUCUUUCUGGUCAAGGAGGCCGAGUGUAACAUGAGCAGUCCAAAACGAGAAAUUCCAGGAAGGGCAGGAGAUGGCUCCGAACACUGCAGCAGUCCUGAUUUGCGGAGAAAUCAGAAGAGAAUAGCUGAACUGAAUGCCACUAUAAGAAAAUUGGAAGACAGGAACACCUUGCUUGGAGAUGAACGAAAUGAAUUGUUAAAACGCGUGCGGGAAACCGAAAAACAAUGUAAACCUCUCCUGGAAAGGAACAAGUGCCUCGCCAAGAGAAACGAUGAGCUGAUGGUGUCCUUGCAGCGCAUGGAAGAAAAACUAAAAGCCGUUACCAAGGAAAAUUUGGAAAUGAGAGAAAAAAUAACAUCCCAUCCACCUCUGAAGAAAUUAAAAUCUCUGAAUGAUCUCGACCAAGCUAAUGAAGAGCAAGAAACAGAGUUUCUAAAACUUCAGGUCAUUGAGCAACAGAACAUUAUUGAUGAGCUCACAAGGGAUCGGGAAAAGCUCAUCCGUAGAAGAAGGCAUAGAAGAAGUUCCAAGCCAAUUAAGAGGCCUGUUUUGGACCCAUUUAUUGGCUAUGAUGAGGACUCCAUGGAUUCAGAGACAUCAUCCAUGGCCUCAUUUAGAACAGACAGAACACCAGCUACUCCUGACGAUGACUUGGAUGAAAGUUUAGCAGCUGAAGAAUCUGAGCUAAGAUUUCGGCAAUUAACGAAAGAAUACCAGGCCCUCCAAAGAGCUUACGCGCUCCUGCAGGAGCAGACGGGAGGCAUCAUCGAUGCAGAACGAGAAGCCAAGGCUCAAGAACAGCUCCAAGCAGAGGUGCUGAGGUAUAAAGCCAAAAUCGAAGAUCUGGAAGCGACUCUGGCUCAGAAAGGGCAGGAUUCACACUGGGUAGAAGAUAAGCAACUUUUCAUUAAGAGAAACCAGGAGCUUUUAGAAAAGAUAGAAAAACAGGAGGCAGAAAACCACCGGUUACAACAGGAACUACAAGACGCCAGAGACCAGAAUGAGCUGCUGGAGUUUCGAAAUCUAGAGCUAGAAGAAAGAGAGAGACGAUCCCCUCCAUUUAAUCUCCAAAUUCACCCAUUCUCAGAUGGUGUGAGUGCUCUACAGAUCUACUGUAUGAAAGAAGGUGUCAAGGAUGUGAACAUCCCUGACCUCAUAAAGCAGCUUGAUAUCUUGGGUGAUAAUGGGAAUUUAAGAAAUGAAGAACAAGUGGCCAUAAUUCAGGCCAGCACCGUGUUGUCCCUGGCAGAGAAGUGGAUCCAGCAAAUCGAAGGGGCAGAGGCUGCCUUGCACCAGAAAAUGAUGGAAUUGGAAAGUGACAUGGAACAGUUCUGCAAAAUAAAAGGCUACCUGGAGGAAGAACUAGACUACAGAAAACAAGCUCUUGACCAAGCGUAUAUGAGAAUCCAGGAACUAGAAGCUACUUUGUACAAUGCUCUGCAGCAAGAAACCGUUAUCAAGUUUGGCGAAUUAUUAAGUGAAAAACAGCAAGAGGAGCUGAGGACGGCAGUAGAAAAGUUACGGCGGCAAAUGCUGAGGAAGAGCAGAGAGUAUGACUGUCAGAUCCUUCAGGAGAGAAUGGAGCUCUUACAGCAAGCCCACCAGAGAAUCCGUGACUUAGAAGAUAAAACAGAUAUCCAGAAAAGACAGAUAAAGGAUUUAGAAGAAAAGUUUCUGUUUCUAUUCUUGUUCUUCUCUCUUGCCUUUAUUCUAUGGCCUUGAUGUCAAGGUGCCUCUUAAAGACUAGCAACUAUCCAUUAUCUGGCAAGAAGGGUGACAACCAGGCAGCACACACUGAAGAGGACUGAAUCUCUUAAAUUGAAUAAGAAAUUAUAAUGAAAUGAGAUUCUCUAGUAAAGGAUAAAAAUGGCCAAAUAUCAGAAAACAAACAGACUUCACCCCCCCCCAAAAAAAAAUACAUAAGCAGGGUAAAUAAAGUUCAGUAACAGUAAUACAUGUGGUUUAGGGAAGAAAAAUCAAACAUCAUAAAUACUAGCUAGAAAAUGAGAAGAUUUCAACAUUAACAUCAAUAAUGGCUGAAACUUAUUAUAUGCCAGGAGCUGUUCGUACAUUUAAUCCUCGCAAAACCCCCCAUGAGGCAGGUACUGCAAUUAUUCCUAUUUUACAUUUGGAGAAACUGCAGCAUGUGACUUUCCCAAGACCAUACGGCUACAAUCGGCAGGGCUAGGAUGUGUGUCCAGCCUCAUUUCAGAGUCUACCUUAACUACCGUCCUGCCUCACAGACAAAAGAGGGCAUUUCUCCCAUAUUUCGAGCAACAUUGAUGUCCGCAGGUAUCAACAACCAGAGUCCUCUUCUACUAUUUGUGUGGUAUUACUUCAAAACUACUGGCUUUUGAAAUUACAAUGCGCUCAUCUAUAUACCUUUUCCCAUUUGGUGUAACUCCAUGAGGGAUAUAUGAGAUUUGAUUUAUUUUUCCUCGAAAGCAGCACAUAAUUGACAUUUAGUAAUUGUCUAUUAAAUGAAAGACUAUCAUGAUAUUUUGAAGUAAUACAGCAAGUUAAUAUGGUAAUGAAUCUGGGCAGUAUAAAAUAUAUACCAGAAAAUGGCUGAGUAGUUUAGAACACACAACUUUGAAGUUAAAUAUACUCUUAUGCUUGAAUCCUGCCAUUUACUAGCAGUGUAAUGGUAGGCAAUUUAUUUAACCUACCUGAGGUUAGGUUUCCUAUUCUAUAAAAUGGUUAUAAUUAUGUUAUUAAAUAUUUACAGUAUGGUGUUGCAUUGAGAGAAUUUUAAUGCAUGUAAAAGAUAUCACAUUGCCUAGAAAUUUGUUAAAUAAUCAACAACUCUUAGCUAUUAUUAUAAAAAGUUAGCUAACACAUUUACUGAGUCUGAAAAUAUAUAAAUUCAAAAUUAUAACAUCCUGUACUGCCAAGCAGUUUACAGCCUACAUCCAAACAAGUUGUUGCUUUUUGAUCUCCUCUUUCCAGGGAAUAAUCUGGAUUUAAAUAAUAUAAGGGAAUACCACAUUACCAAAAACGGAUAAAUGCUGCUUAUGUCUAUAAAGUAGACAUGAGAGAGAUAGGAAUAAGUAAGGAAGAAAAGUUUCUGGCUUGUUGGCGGUAGUAAAAGCAUGCUGCAAAUAACUAUAAAAAAUUUUUCUAUACUAAAUUAAUGAUUUAUAUUCUGCUCAUAAACCCAAGACUAACUUAAAUUAUACAUAAAAGCACCCUCCUUAAAAUGGAGUGACUCAUACUUUUUCUUUUAGCAAUUACCUGUCAUUAUUGUCAGUGAUGAAACAGAAGCCACAAAAAGCUCCCUAGAAGGCACUCUUACUAUGCUCAGUGCUUGAUUACUAAAUCACUCAGCUGCAUGGAUUAUGUUGGGACUUUUACCUUAAACAAGGGAUCCAGGUAGUUCCAGAAGAUAUCUGCCGUGCAUUCUGUUUAUUUCAAAUAAUAGCAUACCACUAUAUUAGAGUUCUCCAGAGGGACAACCAAUAGUAUGGAUGGAUGGAUAGAUAGAUGAGAGGGGAUUUAAUAGGGGAAUUGGUUCUCAUAAUUACGGAGGCUAAGAAGUCCCACCGUAGACCAUCUGUAAGCUGGAGAACCAGAGAAGCAGGUAGCGUGGCUCAGUUCAAGUCGGAAGGCUGAGAACCAACAAAACCAAAAGUGUAACUCUCAGUCCAACGCUGAAAGCUUGAGAGCCCCAGGAGGUCAGUGAUGCAAGUUCCAGAGUCCAAAGGCCAAAGAAUCUGGAGUUCUGAUGUCUAAUCAAUUCAUUCCACCCUCAUGGCCUAAUCACCUAAUGAGGUAGAACCUCAUUAGGCUCCACCUCCAACUGUUGCAUUGGGGAUUAAGUAUCCAACAUAUGCUCUCUGCGGGACAGAUUCAAGCCUUAACACACUAAUUCUUCCACAAAAGACAAUUACCCGAGGAGACAAAGGAAAGAAGAAAAUGAGAGGAGUAGAAAAACAGCUAUCACCAGGUUAGUUGUUAUAUCCAGGUUACAAUGACCCAUUGAAAAUCCUCCUCUUCUGAGCAGGGAUGGAUUAAAGAAGAACAUGAGAGCACCAGCUUUGUUCAUUAUGAAGUUGGGAAGACCAGAGAACAGAGUAACCGAAAACACGGAUAAGACCCCAGAAAUGCAAAUGAUUUUUAAACCUUCAAAGAUGGCAAAAUUGUUUACACCAGUGAGAG
Microcebus murinus (gray mouse lemur) is the source of this 5428-nucleotide non-coding RNA. NCBI's taxonomy places the organism in Eukaryota, Metazoa, Chordata, Mammalia, Primates, Cheirogaleidae. The record is from RefSeq and is a predicted model, not a curated record.